AUCCUGCGAUGUGCGUUUCGGUUAUACUUUGUUUUGAACCAAUGAAGAUGUCUUGGGAGAUCAACAUUGCAGCGCGGCUGAUAAGCCCUAUCUAUAUGAUUAGGGGACUUCAAAAACGGUGCUGAGGUCACCCACCUGCCAAUGCAGGUUCUAAGACAAUGUGAUCGGACGGCAUAAGCGGGAUU
This 185-nucleotide non-coding RNA is filed under the name Paenibacillus tuaregi. RNAcentral's name for it is "6S / SsrS RNA". It matches the Rfam family "6S / SsrS RNA". From Rfam's summary of the family: E. coli 6S RNA was the first non coding RNA to be sequenced, but its function was unknown until recently. It consists of 184 nucleotides that fold into an extended hairpin structure with a large single-stranded internal bulge. The record is from RNAcentral. Lineage: Bacteria; Bacillati; Bacillota; Bacilli; Caryophanales; Paenibacillaceae.